AUGGGGAAGGGAGGGAAAGGCGAGGCGGCGGCGGCCGUGGCCGGCGAGGGGGAGAACAUGGCGGCGUGGCUCGUGGCCAAGAACACCCUCAAGAUCAUGCCCUUCAAGCUUCCGCCGCUGGGUCCUUAUGAUGUGCGAGUCCGGAUGAAGGCGGUGGGCAUCUGCGGCAGCGACGUGCAUUACCUCAAGGAGAUGCGCAUUGCGCAUUUCGUGGUGAAAGAGCCGAUGGUGAUCGGGCACGAGUGCGCUGGCAUCAUCGAGGAGGUGGGCGACGGCGUGAAGCACCUCGCCGUGGGAGACCGCGUGGCGCUGGAGCCCGGCAUCAGCUGCUGGCGCUGCAGGCACUGCAAGGGCGGCCGCUACAACCUCUGCGACGACAUGAAGUUCUUCGCCACCCCACCUUACCAUGGAUCACUUGCCGACCAGAUUGUGCAUCCAGGUGACCUGUGCUUCAAGCUUCCAGACAACGUGAGCCUGGAGGAGGGCGCCAUGUGCGAGCCCCUGAGCGUGGGGGUGCACGCCUGCCGCCGAGCCGACGUGGGCGCGGAGAAGAGCGUGCUCAUCAUGGGCGCCGGCCCGAUCGGCCUGGUCACCAUGCUCUCGGCGCGCGCCUUCGGGGCGCCCAGGAUCGUCAUCGCCGACGUCGACGACCACCGCCUCUCCGUGGCCAAGUCCCUCGGCGCGGACGCCGUCGUGAAGGUCUCCGGCAACACGGAGGACCUCGCGGGGGAGAUCGAGCGCAUCCAGGCGGCGAUGGGAGGCGACAUCGACGUGAGCCUGGACUGCGCCGGGUUCAGCAAGACGAUGUCGACGGCGCUGGAGGCGACGCGGCCGGGCGGGAGGGUGUGCCUGGUGGGGAUGGGGCACAACGAGAUGACGGUGCCGCUGACGUCGGCGGCGAUCCGGGAGGUGGACGUGGUGGGGAUCUUCCGUUACAAGGACACGUGGCCGCUGUGCCUCGAGUUCCUGCGGAGCGGCAAGAUCGACGUGAAGCCGCUCAUCACGCACAGGUUCGGCUUCUCGCAGGGGGAGGUGGAGGAGGCCUUCGAGGUCAGCGCGCGCGGCCGCGACGCCAUCAAGGUCAUGUUCAACCUCUAG
Molecule: ribosomal RNA, 1098 nt
Filed under: Triticum aestivum (bread wheat)
Lineage: Eukaryota; Viridiplantae; Streptophyta; Magnoliopsida; Poales; Poaceae
Description: partial small subunit ribosomal RNA
Source: RNAcentral